This 200-nucleotide ribosomal RNA is filed under the name uncultured organism. RNAcentral describes it as "partial small subunit ribosomal RNA". It matches the Rfam family "Bacterial small subunit ribosomal RNA", at positions 1184 to 1382 of the family's 1533-position model. The record is from RNAcentral.
GUCAAGUCAGCAUGGCUCUUACGUCCUGGGCCACUCGCACGCUACAAUGGGCAGUACAGACCGUCGCGAAACCGCGAGGUGGAGCCAAUCGGACAAAGCUGUCCUCAGUUCGGAUUGCAGGCUGCAACUCGCCUGCAUGAAGUCGGAGUUGCUAGUAACCGCAGGUCAGCCAUACUGCGGUGAAUACGUUCCCGGGCCUU